GAGACGACACAACAGCAACAACAAGCAACAGCGGCAAUAAAAAUGAAAAGAACAAUCGAUUUUUAAUUCCCUAUUCGCGAUAACAGCAAAAAUCGAGUUAAACUAUUUUAUUACGAGGCGUGUUCGAUCGUAUAGGAAAACUCUGGGUACUUUGGGCGUCGAGUAAAGAGCCACCGUCGCGACGCUCUGCGAGUAAAAUGCAUUUAACAGUAGCAGCAGUAGCAGCAGCAGCAGCAGCAGUAGCAGUAGGAGAAGUAACAACAGCUGCGAGGAAGGAGAGACGAUUUUGUGCGGCGAGCUGCUUUUCCGGACAUCUGCUUUUUCCGUUCGUGAAAAUGCAUUGACGCGUCGCAAAACAGAAAGAAUAAAAAGAUAAGGGAGAGAAACAGAGAGGAAGAGAGAGAAAGGCAAAGAGAGAGAGAGAGAGAGAGAGAGAGAGAACGUUCACGGCAAGACACAGCACGGAUCAGCUGCUCGUCAAAACAAAGCACUCGCGCACUCGGCGCGUUCUGAUAUUCUCUUUCUCUCUUUAGCUUAUUCUUUCCCCUUCUCUUUUCCUCUCUCUCUUUCUCUCUUUCAAUCUCCACACGUUUGAUUCUUCCUUUCGCUUCCACCACUCUUCCAGUCUAUAUAUAAUAGGGUCGAUACGAAGACGAGGACAACGACGAGGACAACGACGACGACGACGACGACUACGACGACGAGGAAGAGGAUGACAACUAUGAUGGGACAACAUAUCACGCAACGUACAACAUAACAAAUCGGAGCUGCGCCAUCGAACGGAAAACGUAUGCGCGCGCGAUGCCAAUCAUGGAACAAAGGGGCUUCACUCGCGCCCUUUUUUACGAUUCACCGAGGGCGAUUCUCUCCCUCUCUCUCUUUCUCUCUCUCUCACACAUACACACACACUCACACACGCACUCACUCACUCACUCACUCACUCACUCACUCAUUUACUCACUUACUCCUUUCUUUGCUUUGUCCAUUUUCCUUUUUUAAUCGUCGACUUGUAUGUCGCACUCCGUUUCUCGUUUACUCUUUCUCUUUCUCUUUAACUCCUUUCGUCUUUUGUUUUGUCGCGAUUCACAAUAAAAAUUACACAAUUUUCUUCUUACCAAAAGGGAACACUUACAUGCAUACUCGAAUUCUCUUUAUUUAUCUUCGUGAUUGCUUGUGCUGCUAAUCUAUUAAUUCACGUCACUAUUCCAGCACAAGCGCACUCCUAGACAAAUCUUUCGCGAUUACGCGCACACCGAACGCUCGACCGAACUGUCAGAGACUGGAGACUGUUCCUCUGCUUUACAAUGCUACGCUAGUACGAAUAUGAGUGAGAGAGAGAGAGAGAGAGAGAGAGAGAGAGAGAAAGAAAUACUUGUUUCGAUGGAGGGGGUGGAAAGUCGAAGGAGAAGAAAGAGGGAGAAGAGGACUAGCUCAGCUCACCGCUACUAUCAUCGUUGUUAGCGUUUCCCUCUGACGCAUCGAGUCGCCAGCUGUUCUUUGUCGGCAAUGCGAUUACGCACGGGCACGGCGAAUGGAAGGUCCGUUCCUGCACACCGAUUGGUCAAUCCUACUUGCUCCGUCGCUAGCGCUCACUACGCACGCGACGACAACGCCAUCUUCAACAUCAGCGCCUCGAAUCAGACAACGAAAACAAAAAUAUAUAGAACGAAGAUGGAUGAUGUCUGUGAUUCGACCAAUAAGAGAUUAAAAAUAACGGGUUGCGCGGCUCUUUGACGCUUCGGCGAAGGCGGGGACCGUCCGGCUUGCGUCCUGGGAUGGCAUGCACAGAACACAGCACCAAACGCCAUACGGUUACACAGAGACAGACAAAAUCCACAGAUAGAAGAAAAGAUAGAGAAAGUUGGGUUGGGAUCGGAAAGGAGCGAGUGGGGGAGGGCUUGAAAUAGAUUACAAGCGACGAGAUGACGACUAUCUGUGCCAAAUACGUGAAAGAAAUAAUGAUUCGAAGGAGACUCACUUUCGAUGCACCGCCUCCUGCAACACCUCCGCCACCUCCGCCACCCCCGCCACCGGAAACGUUUGAAUUACGCGCGGGCGUAACAUAGAGACUCUCGGUUCGUUUCGGUUGCCCAGGACUUGGGAGGAUGUCUUGACCAAGGUUGCGGUUCUUUAAAAGUGCUCCUUCAAAUUGCCCGGAAGUCGAUGCCGCAUAAGUUGGUGUCGCCGUACCACUUCCUACCACCGAGCCGUUCAAUGGCGUGCCGGAUCGAAUAACACUGGGAGCCCUCGUCGAUCUUAAAACGCAUCAUUUUCUUUAAAGUUUUCGUAAAAAUAUUUUACUCAAAAAUCUAUCCUUUUCAAAGGAACUAUCGAUAUUUAUUUAAAACAUUUACUGCCUUGCACAAAUGCAAUAUAACAUCAUACAAUAUCGUUUAGUACCAUUAAUUACUUCUUUUUUUUUUUUCUUUUUUUUCGAAUGGAAUUCAAUACGAGUUCUUAAUAUUAAUUUCUUACUUAAUUAGGUUAAUUUUUUAUUUACGAUAUUGAUCUUUUUACCUGUCGAUUAGAUCCGUGGAUGUAUUUGUUACGGUUUUGUCAACAGACGGCUGUCUUGAUCCUGUCAAUCGGGAAUGCGCUCUGGCAUAUCGAUCUACGGAACUAUCACGACUAGGUGGCCUCUUGUAAUGAUCCAGCCUACAAUAAAUUAUAGCAUUUUGUGUUAUGUAAUAAUAAUAUCGGAGAAUAUUUUAUUUUCC
Unclassified non-coding RNA from Vespa mandarinia (Asian giant hornet), 2717 nucleotides. The record is from RefSeq and is a predicted model, not a curated record. Lineage: Eukaryota; Metazoa; Arthropoda; Insecta; Hymenoptera; Vespidae.